UAUACAACGGAAUAAUUAGAAAGAUAGUGUUUUCCCUCAGUACCGAUAUGAAAGCAUGGUUGGUUUGGCUUGUUGUAACCAAUUGGAUCUCUAGAUCUUCGCCUCUAUUAUGCUGGAAGUGUCAUGCAAGAAACCAAAGGGAAUGUAACCGCAUCGGGACACCACAAGUAUGUCACAGCAAUCAGGCGUGUGUUACCGAAUGGAGAGAAGAGAAUGGAAUUACAAUCAUGACGAAAAGGUGCAAGCAGAAAGAAGUAUGUCAAAGAAUGCAGAGUCAAAAUAGACAAAGAUGUAAAGCAUAUAGGUAAACUGAUACACUUAACUCUAUACCUUAAACUGACUUAUUAUUUGACGUCUGGUAAAAUAUCACCAGUAAAAGAUUUAUUGAAUGCAACUUACUUAUCCUAACAUGGAGGGCAACGACGCUGUUAUAACAGGGGUGUUCUGUUUAUAACACCUUAUGCCCGAUUACCUAUGUUUCAUCGAUUUGUUUCCGUAUACCGAUUCCUUAAUAAAACGACAUCGUUUUAGAAGGGGGUUAAACCCUAGCAUAUGUUUCGACUGCUGCUGGGAGAAAAGCAACUGUAACCGGGAUCGAAUCCCACCCCAUACAACAUCACGGCCAACUGAUACACCAACCACUGUAGCUACCAGUACAACUUUUUCAACUCCGAUCACAACCGGGAAGAUAGAACCUUCGCUGUCAUUACUGGUACCAACAUCAAAAACGGAUUCCAUUUUGCCCACAACGUUUUACCCGGCAUUGGUAAACCGACCGAGAACUACCUGCUGUGUUUGCACUCGUGCCGGGGAGCCUAACACGAGACCGGUCGAAGCAGCUUUGCUAAUUGUGGAACCAGACUUUGACGAAUGGAGAAAUUAUAGUUAAUAAAAUACCUACGAAAUGUUACGAGAAUGCAAAUAGUUACCAAAGGAAACAUUAUAUGCUUGUAAAGUGUUGGCGCAUAUACAUCGUAAACCAUUCGAACGCUUUUAGUCGUAAAAACGCCCAAAUAAUUUUCGUAUGUCGACAUUUUCACAAAAAUGACAGGUAGUAAAAAGAGAAUAUA
Molecule: non-coding RNA, 1070 nt
Organism: Ciona intestinalis (vase tunicate)
Lineage: Eukaryota; Metazoa; Chordata; Ascidiacea; Phlebobranchia; Cionidae
Source: RefSeq, a predicted model, not a curated record